UCAACCUAAAAGAAAAUAGUAAGUUUUAGUACAACAAAACUUUUCAAAAAACACAAGCAAUGCUGUUACUGUAGGCAGGGGCGGACAGGGACAAUAAUCCAGGCCAGGAAUUUGAUGCCAUCCCAGGCCACCACCAGCAAAUUAAAGCUAAUUGUCGGGUUCUGGGUUGUCUGUAUAUUGUGCUUGCAACAUUUCUUCAGUUUUUUUUAGUGCUGGAGUUUUCAGGCGCUGGGUGACAGGUGUGACUUAUUCUGCUGAUUGCAUGGAUGAGUACUUAAGCAGCAGGCUGCCAGCACUUCGACACCAGAAUGUUUUGCCUUCAGUGGUAACAAGCUCAGCCACCUCUAAUCUAUGUUUUGUUUUUCAAUCCAAGUAAUUGUUUAUGCUCCUUCACAGGCUGAAACCUAAAUCUUGGAUUUACCUUGCUGAACACAGACUUUGGUCCCAGAAGUUCUGGGCAAUCAAGAUUAUCUACAUUUUGAGGACUUUGUUUCCUAACGCCUGACUUUCAUCUGGACUCAGAUCAAGCUGGCAGCUUCCUGCUUCCUCCGUCUUCUGGACCAAGGCAUAAGCGUACCCUGUCCACCCUCCAACGCAAGUAUCUGCACAUUGGAUUUACUCCUGGUCUCACCAAGCCCACUCAAACAGCACCAGAGAAAUCAUCUGAACAAACCCUGCUUCGUAAACCUGGACCCCGAAUCCCUCUACCCCUGGCGAUCUGACUGCACCUAUUUAUUGGUGAUACACCCGUUCACGUUCCUGAUUAUUUGCUGAAAACGAAACUCCAUUUUACUGAUUCGGUUUCUUCCGAGUGUACUUCUGUAUGUGGGUCAGAUGUAUUUCGAAAACAAUGACACUAACCACCAAGACUAAGUUAAAUUGUGCACACUUUCAAUGCAUGACGUCUGCACAAGUCAUCAACUGAAUACCUACAAAAUGUUUCUGCUGUGGGCAAUAUUAUGAACCCAAAUCACAUUAACUGAAAUUCAUUUCACCUAUAUUAUGCUAUGUAUAAACCAUUUAAACUCACUAAUAUGACAGUAAAUCAUUUAACAAAUGAUUUGGAAUUCUUUUAUUUGUGUGAUUUAGGCCCUACUGAAAAACAAAUCCAAAUUCUUUGAGUGAGGCUGGGAAAAAUAAUCAAAUGGCUUCUCUUGGCUUUAAUGUCUAUUGCUGUACUUGUCUUUCCACAUCUCUCUCUGUACUGCUGGCUGCUCUGCAAAAUGAAAUUAACUUAAUUUUAAAUAUUUGUAAUGAGUGAGGCACAACGUAUUCUAAGACCAUAGCCUGCAGGUGUGAUUUGUGCUUAAAUUGUACCUGAAGGUCCCCACCAACUCCAAACAGCUGCUUUCCACCACCUCCAUGACAGCAGGAGCUCUUGCAGCACUGGUGCUGCUCCCUGUACUAACACUGCUUUCUUCAGCACCCUAAUAAAGAGAAUUUGAAAUCCACCCAUAAUUUCCCAUCUAUUCAAAUUGGCUAUAUUUACAUUACAAAUAUUUUCUUUAUUUCAACGGGAUGUUACCUGGUUAAAUAAAGGUUAAAUAAAAAAACGGAUUACAAUAUUUAUAUAAUUUCUUGUGGA
Girardinichthys multiradiatus is the source of this 1585-nucleotide long non-coding RNA. RefSeq lists it as uncharacterized. The transcript has 2 exons. NCBI's taxonomy places the organism in Eukaryota, Metazoa, Chordata, Actinopteri, Cyprinodontiformes, Goodeidae. The record is from RefSeq and is a predicted model, not a curated record.